UAUCCUGAAGAAUCCAAACUCAAAUCGAAUUGAGAACUGAAAUCACCCACUUCAAAUGCGCAUCCUCCCGAGGCCACCGUGCCUCCCAUCAUCAUCUCAAUCAAUCAGCAGACCCAACUUCCAUUUCUCAAUCUCAACUUAUUCUGCUUCUUCUUCAUGUUCAUCGUCAUCAUCUUCCUUUACUUUCUUUAGCUUUAAACCCUUCAAUAAGCGCUUUCAUUUCUUGAGCCCACCUCGUUCUUCCCUCAAACAAUCCAAAAAACGCCAACGGACCCUUCAAACUAAUGCACCACCACCGCCGCAGAGCAGCAUCAGGAGACUCUUGAACUUGAACAAUAACCCUAAAGAUGAUGAUGGCGAUGGUGGUGGUGAUGGUGAUGAUGAGAACGGGACUGCGAUUAAAGGGACGAUUAUAGCUGGUUUGUUGCUUGUUGGUGUUGUUGGUGGGUUUGGUUCUGUUGGGUACAUCUAUAGAGACCAGAUCAAUGUUUUCUUAUCUCAGUUUUCUAGCUUCAUUGAAGGUUAUGGCCCUGCUGGAUAUGCGCUUUUUGUUGCAGUUUAUGCUGGCCUGGAAGUACUUGCAAUACCAGCCAUUCCACUUACGAUGUCAGCUGGUCUUCUAUUUGGCCCUCUCACCGGCACAAUCCUUGUCUCUAUAAGUGGGACUAUAGCAGCAAGUGUUGCAUUUCUAAUCGCUAGAUAUUUUGCUCGUGAACGAAUACUUAAAAUGGUCGAAGGGAACAAGAAAUUUCUUGCAAUUGAUAAAGCAAUUGGAGAAAAUGCUUUCAGAGUUGUUACACUUCUCCGGUUGAGCCCAUUGCUCCCAUUUUCUCUUGGAAAUUACUUAUAUGGACUUACAUCGGUCAAGUUUGUCCCAUACGUCUUGGGAAGUUGGUUGGGGAUGCUGCCUGGAACAUGGGCGUAUGUUAGUGCCGGUGCAUUUGGUCGAGCAAUCAUUCAAGAAGAAUCAAAUGUGGGUUUAGCAGGUGGGAGUAAUCAGUUGGUGACUCUGGGUGUGGGAUUACUAGCAACAGCCCUGGCUGCAACAUACGUCACACGGUUAGCCAAGGAUGCCAUGGAAGACAUUGAAUAAGACCAUAUUAGUCUGUUGGAUAAUCAAUCUAAGAGUUUCAAUGGCUAUGGCUAUCACCAUUAGUUUCGGCUCUAUGUAAAUUCGAAACGACCACUUGUUGAAGCAAAUAUUUUGCAGUUGAAAGAAGGAAGUUAUACCUGUUUUUCUGUAAUGGGUUGUUGAAUAUUAGCUUUCUUCUCCAUCAGCUAUCAUCGUCAACGUUGGCAAUCAUACUCCAGCGAGACACUAUCUUGUAUCAGGUCGAAGUUAGCAAGAAUCAUUUGUUUUGAUAUAAUUAUUGGAUUCUUUGGAUGUGUUCUCUGAGGAAGAUGCAGAACAAUUUUUGAAGUCGUAAGUCUGAUCCUUUGAAUCAGAGUUAGCUUUCAUAGACUCAGAUAUCUGAUUACAAAGCCCAAAACUGAUUGGGAAGGUUUGCUACAAUUGUAGCACUUAGAGACUUCAACCUCAUCUUUCUUUAUUGGAGUUGCUCUUCUUGUACAAAUGGCCCUGUAU
Molecule: RNA transcript, 1585 nt
Organism: Cynara cardunculus var. scolymus (artichoke)
Lineage: Eukaryota; Viridiplantae; Streptophyta; Magnoliopsida; Asterales; Asteraceae
Gene name: TVP38/TMEM64 family membrane protein slr0305
Exons: 9
Source: RefSeq, a predicted model, not a curated record